This 216-nucleotide ribosomal RNA is filed under the name Glomeromycotina sp. RNAcentral describes it as "partial small subunit ribosomal RNA". The stretch from base 44 to 216 matches the Rfam family "Eukaryotic small subunit ribosomal RNA", at positions 690 to 864 of the family's 1831-position model. Lineage: Eukaryota; Fungi; Glomeromycota. The record is from RNAcentral.
GGGUCAGUAGGUUGGUCGUGCCACCGGUACGUACUGGUCCCACUGAUUCCUCCUUCCUGAAGAACCGUAAUGCCAUUAAUUUGGUGUUGCGGGGAAACAGGACUGUUACUUUGAAAAAAUUAGAGUGUUUAAAGCAAGCUAACGCUUGGAUACAUUAGCAUGGAAUAAUGAAGUAGGACGAUCGAUCCUAUUUUGUCGGUUUCUAGGAUUGACGUA